This 369-nucleotide ribosomal RNA is filed under the name uncultured eukaryote. Its description in RNAcentral is "partial 18S ribosomal RNA". It matches the Rfam family "Eukaryotic small subunit ribosomal RNA", at positions 592 to 976 of the family's 1831-position model. The record is from RNAcentral.
CAAUAGCGUAUAUUAAAGUUGUUGCAGUUAAAAAGCUCGUAGUUGAACUUUGGGCCUGGCAGGCCGGUCCGCUUUUUGGCGAGUACUGACCCUGCCGGGCCUUUCCUUCUGGCUAACCUCCCCUCUGGAGAGGCGAACCAGGACUUUUACUUUGAAAAAAUUAGAGUGUUCAAAGCAGGCCUUUGCUCGAAUAUAUUAGCAUGGAAUAAUAGAAUAGGACGUUUGGUUCUAUUUUGUUGGUUUCUAGGACCAUCGUAAUGAUUAAUAGGGACGGUCGGGGGCAUCAGUAUUCAGUUGUCAGAGGUGAAAUUCUUGGAUUUAUGAAAGACGAACUACUGCGAAAGCAUUUGCCAAGGAUGUUUUCAUUAA